RNAcentral lists this ribosomal RNA (468 nucleotides) under uncultured bacterium. RNAcentral's name for it is "bacterial SSU rRNA". It matches the Rfam family "Bacterial small subunit ribosomal RNA", at positions 15 to 518 of the family's 1533-position model. The record is from RNAcentral.
GAUUCUGGCUCAGAACGAACGCUGGCGGCAGGCCUAACACAUGCAAGUCGAACGAUAAGCCACCUUCGGGUGGUGGACAGUGGCAGACGGGUGAGUAACGCGUGGGAACGUGCCUUUCGGUUCGGGAUAACCCAGGGAAACUUGGGCUAAUACCGGAUACGCCCUUCGGGGGAAAGAUUCAUUGCCGAAAGAUCGGCCCGCGUCGGAUUAGCUUGUUGGUGGGGUAAUGGCCUACCAAGGCGACGAUCCGUAGCUGGUCUGAGAGGAUGACCAGCCACACUGGGACUGAGACACGGCCCAGACUCCUACGGGAGGCAGCAGUGGGGAAUAUUGGACAAUGGGCGAAAGCCCUGAUCCAGCCAUGCCGCGUGGGUGAAGAAGGCCUUAGGGUUGUAAACCCCUUUCAGCGGGGACGAUAAUGACGGUACCCGCAGAAGAAGUCCCGGCUAACUCCGUGCCAGCCGCUGC